Molecule: ribosomal RNA, 426 nt
Filed under: Triticum aestivum (bread wheat)
Lineage: Eukaryota; Viridiplantae; Streptophyta; Magnoliopsida; Poales; Poaceae
Description: partial small subunit ribosomal RNA
Source: RNAcentral
AUGAAUGCAAUUCUUAGGAAUCAUUCCUAUGGAACUUUCCUUUUUCUAUUUGGUAGGAAAUUUUGUAUGAGUUCCAAGCUCUUGGAAAAUUCCUACGCUUCCAUCAAACACACACUUGCCCCAAUUCCUUUGUCUUGCAAUUUCAUUGGAUUCAGAUGGGCAGGGCAUAUUAAUCCUCCAUUUUUCCUAUCCUAUGAAUCAAAGGAGCCCUUAGUCAGUAAGAUAGUGUAUGCAGCUGGACAGCUAGUAGUAGUCAAUUUGCCUUUUGCAUGUACUAGCAACUGCUACUUGCCCUGUACUGUUUAUAUGCCUCAAGGCAACAAUACGAGUAACAGCUCCAGAAAAACACUAUCCUGUGUUCGGCCCCUGCUCCUCUCUGCUUCUAACAGUUUUUUGCUUGUUCUUUCCAAACCUAUCUAUUUGUAA